GUACACGCUGUGACUAGCAUAUCAAUAAGCGGAGGAAAAGAAACUAACAAGGAUUCCCCUAGUAACGGCGAGUGAAGCGGGAAGAGCUCAAAUUUGAAAUCUUAAAGGGUUUCCCUUUACGAAUUGUAGUUUAAAGAAGUGUUUUCUGUUGAGGUUUUGGUAAAAGUUCUUUGGAAUAGGACAUCAUAGAGGGUGAGAAUCCCGUAUUUGACCUUUACUUUCAACUUUGUGAUACACUUUCAAAGAGUCGGAUUGUUUGGGAAUGCAGUCCAAAAUGGGUGGUAAAUUUCAUCUAAAGCUAAAUAUUGGCGAGAGACCGAUAGCGAACAAGUACCGUGAGGGAAAGAUGAAAAGAACUUUGAAAAGAGAGUUAAACAGUAUGUGAAAUUGUCAAAAGGGAAGCGUUUGACACCAGUGUUGUUUUUCUGAAAAUCAAUUAAAGAACUGUUUAUGCUAAGUUGUUUAGACUUUAUCAGCUAACUGUUUAGUUUUGAGCUUUUCUUUAAUGCACUUUUCAGUUAACAAGUCAACAUCAAUUUCUUUUGCUGUAAAAGAGCUUGAGGAAGGUGGCUUGAGAUUCGUCUUAAGUGUUUAUAGCCUCUUGCCUAUGCAGUCGGAGAGAUUGAGGUCUGCAGCGUAGAUCCUUCGGGGCUAAAUGCAUUUGUGCUAAGUUAUAGCAUUUUAUAGACAACUUGUUGACUAUGAUUUGUCUUGUAGCUUACUCGCUUAUGUUAUUUUACCUACGCUUAGGAUGUUGACGCGCGUGUGUGCGUG
Molecule: ribosomal RNA, 774 nt
Filed under: uncultured Neocallimastigales
Lineage: Eukaryota; Fungi; Neocallimastigomycota; Neocallimastigomycetes; Neocallimastigales
Description: partial large subunit ribosomal RNA
Rfam family: Eukaryotic large subunit ribosomal RNA
Source: RNAcentral